This 347-nucleotide long non-coding RNA is filed under the name Physcomitrium patens. RNAcentral's name for it is "long non-coding RNA (PPAT_LNC003563)". Lineage: Eukaryota; Viridiplantae; Streptophyta; Bryopsida; Funariales; Funariaceae. The record is from RNAcentral.
UAGGAUUUGAUUUAAAAUUAGGAUUUGGUUAGGAUUUGAUUAGAGUUUGAUUUAAGAUUAGGAUUUGGUUUAUGAUUUAGGAUUUGAUUAGGAUUUGAUUUAGGAUUAGGAUUUGGUUUAGGAUUUAGGAUUUGAUUUAGGAUUUAGGAUUUGAUUUAGGAUUUAGGAUUUGAUUUAUGGUUUGGUUUAAGGUUUAAUAUUUGAUUAGGAUGUGAUCAGGAUUUGAUUUAGGAUUUAUGAUUUUAUUUGAGUUUAUUUAGGAUUUAAGAUUUAGUUAGUUUUUGGCCUAAAGUUUGAAUGAAGUAAGAUUUCAACUAGGAUUAAAUUAAGAUUGACUAUGUUUGAAA